Molecule: RNase P RNA, 360 nt
Filed under: Betaproteobacteria bacterium
Lineage: Bacteria; Pseudomonadati; Pseudomonadota; Betaproteobacteria
Description: RNase P RNA component class A
Rfam family: Bacterial RNase P class A
About the family: Ribonuclease P (RNase P) is a ubiquitous endoribonuclease, found in archaea, bacteria and eukarya as well as chloroplasts and mitochondria. Its best characterised activity is the generation of mature 5'-ends of tRNAs by cleaving the 5'-leader elements of precursor-tRNAs.
Source: RNAcentral
GGAGUCGGCCAGGCAGCCGCUAUGGCGACAUAGAGGAAAGUCCGGGCUCCGCAGAGCGGGAUGCAGGGUAACGCCCUGGCACGGCGACGUGACGAAGAGGGCCACAGAGACGAGUCCGGCCGCGCUUUCCGCAAGGCAAGCCGGCCGGGGUGAAACGCGGCAACCUCCAUCCGGAGCAACACCAAAUAGGCAAGCGUGGCGCCCGGGCGAAAGCCCCCGCCGCGGCCGGCUCGGCCGAGGCUUGCGGGUAGGUGGCUAGAGCCGGGGGGUAACUCCCGGCCCAGAGGAAUGGCUGCCCCGCCCGGCCGGGGCUCGCCCCGGCCGGGCGCGACAGAACCCGGCUUACGGCCGUCUCCCGCU